RNAcentral lists this ribosomal RNA (465 nucleotides) under Vreelandella stevensii. RNAcentral describes it as "partial 16S ribosomal RNA". It matches the Rfam family "Bacterial small subunit ribosomal RNA", at positions 338 to 795 of the family's 1533-position model. The record is from RNAcentral. Lineage: Bacteria; Pseudomonadati; Pseudomonadota; Gammaproteobacteria; Oceanospirillales; Halomonadaceae.
CCUACGGGUGGCUGCAGUGGGGAUUAUUGGACAAUGGGCGAAAGCCUGAUCCAGCCAUGCCGCGUGUGUGAAGAAGGCCUUCGGGUGGUAAAGCACUUUCAGUGGGGAAGAAAGCCUUGGGGCUAAUACCCUCGAGGAAGGACAUCACCCACAGAAGAAGCACCGGCUAACUCCGUGCCAGCAGCCGCGGUAAUACGGAGGGUGCGAGCGUUAAUCGGAAUUACUGGGCGUAAAGCGCGCGUAGGCGGUCUGAUAAGCCGGUUGUGAAAGCCCCGGGCUCAACCUGGGAACGGCAUCCGGAACUGUCAGGCUAGAGUGCAGGAGAGGAAGGUAGAAUUCCCGGUGUAGCGGUGAAAUGCGUAGAGAUCGGGAGGAAUACCAGUGGCGAAGGCGGCCUUCUGGACUGACACUGACGCUGAGGUGCGAAAGCGUGGGUAGCAAACAGGAUUAGAUACCCGAGUAGUC